Non-coding RNA from Triticum aestivum (bread wheat), 188 nucleotides. NCBI's taxonomy places the organism in Eukaryota, Viridiplantae, Streptophyta, Magnoliopsida, Poales, Poaceae. The record is from Rfam.
AAAGUACUCCCUCCGUCCCAAAAUUCUUGUCUUAGAUUUGUCUAGAUACGGAUGUAUCAAGUCACNCGUCCCAAAAUUCUUGUCUUAGAUUUGUCUAGAUACGGAUGUAUCAAGUCACAUUUUAGUAUUAGAUACAUCCAUAUCUAGACAAAUCUAAGACAAGAAAUUUGGGACAGAGGGAGUAGUUG